GUAGAGAACUGAGAUGACGAGGAAGCGGAGGGCUGCGGGGAGCCCUGGGCGCUUGGGGCCGCUGAGGUGGGCGGCGGGGCGGUAGCACCUGAUGGGGGGCCAGGGGAAUACUGAGUGGUGGGCAAGGGCCCGGGCCGGGUGGCAACAGCUGCUCCAGUCCCCCGGUAACAGUACUUCUGUCCCUCCAGCACGGAGGCCAAGGAUUUGAGCAGGCUGGCUGGGCUGGCUGGCGGGGGUAGCGGGGGUGGCGGCGGCUGCGGCUGGGGUGGCGGAGGGAACUUGGCUAGAGGCGGCGGUGGUGGCAGGGCUGGUGGUGGCUUCUUCUCCUCUUCCUGGGUGGCCGUGGUGGUGGCAGCGGUGGUGGCAGCGGUGGUGGCUGGGGCUGUGUCAGUGGGGAACGGAGGCUGCAGAGAUGCAAAGGGCUCCUUCAGGGGAGGCGGGGGGACCACGCCAGCCUCCUGUUGUUGCUGCUCCUCCUCCUUGCGAAUGGAUUCGUCCAGCAUCUUCAUGAUGUUGGCCAGCCCAUCAGGUAGGAUCUUGAAUUCAGCUGGCUCCUCAAACUGGUCCUCCAGCGGGGUAGGGGGGAAAUCAAAGAGUCGAGGGCCUCGGGCAGGCAGCUCCCCAACCCUGGACGGCACAGGCUGGGGGGCUUUAUUCAGGGGGCCUGGGGAUGGCCCCGGCCCCACCUCGGGGGUCUUUGGGAAGGAGACCCUGGGCCGAGGGCUCUCCGGGCGCCUGAAGCUUCCUGAGGUAUUUUGGUGGCAAGAGGAGGGAGGGGCUGGAGGCAGGGCAAGACUGAGGGGUGCAAGAGGCGGAUCCUGGGGGCUCAGUGUUGGGCUGGGGGGCCGAGGAAGGGGGUCCAUACUUCUGGCCAGAUAGGGAGGUGGGGGGAAGGACACAGACCCAGUAGGGCUGCUGCUGUGGCUGCCAUUGUUGCUGCUGCUGCUGCUGGUGGUCGGAAGGAAAGCAAAGCCAGGAGAAGCAGCGAGACAGAGCCCCGAAAGGUGCCGCGGGCAGACCUGGGACGCACAGGCUGUCGGGCGACGGGAAGGGAGUCAGGCUGCACGAGACGGCGGCGCGGCCGGCGGGUGACCAGCCCAAGUGGGGGAGAUGGAACGAGGAGGGCCGGGGGAAAGCGGCAAGGCCGGGGGCGACGGGGAGACGGAACCGGGGAAAGGGGUCAGCCGGGAGGGUGUGGAGGAAAAUCCGAGAAGGGAGGGCGAGCCAGGCCGGGGUUACCUGCUGGGUGUCUGUCCCCCGGCGGUGCCCCCGGAGUCCGGGUAGGGAGGGGGGGAGCAGCAGGGGGGGGAGUGGGGGCUGGGGGGGCGGGGGAGACGGUCCCUCCUCUGCC
Molecule: long non-coding RNA, 1351 nt
Filed under: Sus scrofa (pig)
Lineage: Eukaryota; Metazoa; Chordata; Mammalia; Artiodactyla; Suidae
Description: lncRNA (ENSSSCG00065047544.1)
Source: RNAcentral